Podarcis lilfordi (Lilford's wall lizard) is the source of this 83-nucleotide non-coding RNA. NCBI's taxonomy places the organism in Eukaryota, Metazoa, Chordata, Lepidosauria, Squamata, Lacertidae. The record is from the annotation of a GenBank genome assembly.
UGUCCAGUAGCACCUUAGAGACCAACUAAGUUUGUUCUGGGUAUGCACACUUCUUCAGAUGGUCUCUAAGGUGCUACUGGACA